UACGUAGGGUGCAAGCGUUGUCCGGAAUUAUUGGGCGUAAAGCGCGCGCAGGCGGUCCUUUAAGUCUGAUGUGAAAGCCCACGGCUCAACCGAUGAGGGCCAUUGGAAACUGGGGGACUUGAGUGUAGGAGAGGAAAGUGGAAUUCCACGUGUAGCGGUGAAAUGCGUAGAUAUGUGGAGGAACACCAGUGGCGAAGGCGACUUUCUGGCCUAUAACUGACACUGAGGCGCGAAAGCGUAGGUAGCGAACAGG
RNAcentral lists this unclassified non-coding RNA (253 nucleotides) under uncultured Sporolactobacillaceae bacterium. Its description in RNAcentral is "contains 16S-23S intergenic spacer region". It matches the Rfam family "Bacterial small subunit ribosomal RNA", at positions 524 to 776 of the family's 1533-position model. Lineage: Bacteria; Bacillati; Bacillota; Bacilli; Caryophanales; Sporolactobacillaceae. The record is from RNAcentral.